This is an RNA transcript of Mastomys coucha (southern multimammate mouse), 942 nucleotides long. It is a transcript of the gene named vacuolar protein sorting-associated protein 72 homolog pseudogene, with no coding region annotated. The record is from RefSeq and is a predicted model, not a curated record. The transcript has a single exon. Lineage: Eukaryota; Metazoa; Chordata; Mammalia; Rodentia; Muridae.
GCUUUAGAAUGCCCUUAGGAUCUGCCUAUUCUAUUUCUCCUGUAUUGGCAUUAUAAGCAUUAACCACCAUGCCUACAUUUUUAACAUGGGUACUAAGAAUCAAAUCUGGAUCCUUAUAGUUUCUUGGCAAGCACUAUACUACCUACUAUACAUCCACCUUCUCUUAAAAACUAAACACCAACCCUGAGCUGGUGCAGUCUCUGUAGGCGGUAUGAGUUUGGCUGGGGGCCGGGCCCUGCUGAAAACCUCUGGAAACCGGCUUUCUGGGUUACCGGAAGCAGAGGAGGAAGAUGAGUUCUACCAGACAACUUACGGGGGUUUCACCGAGGAGUCUGGAGAUGAGUACCAAGGUUUCCAGUCUGACACGGAGGAUGAGGUAGACUUUGACUUUGACAUUGAUGAAGGAGAUGAACCAUCCAGUGAUGGAGAAGCAGAAGAGCCAAGAAGGAAGCGCAGAGUCGUCACCAAAGCCUAUAAGGAGCCUCUAAAGAGCUUGAGGCCUCGCAAGGUCAGCACCCCAGCGAGCAGCUCCCAGAAGGCCAGAGAGGAGAAGGUGCUGCUGCCAUUGGAGCUGCAGACGACGGCUCUGACAGCCGCAAGUCCAUGCGUCAAUCUAUAGCAGAGCACACACUACAAACGUUCCUUCGGGUUCAAGAGAAGCAAGGACAGUCCCGAAGGUGGAAGGGUCCGCACUGUGAGCAACCACUAACCCAGGAAGAGCUGCUCAGGGAGGCCAAGAUUACUGAAGAGCUCAAUUUACGUUCAUUCAAUUUAUGUUCCAGAUUUAUGAAUGGCUGGAAGCUGACAAAAAGAAGCAGGUUCAUAAGAAGAGCAAGUGUCCUGGGCCAAUAAUCACCUACCACUCAGUGAUGGUGCCGCUUGUUGGGGAGCCUGGUCCCAAGAAGGAGAAUGUGAACAUGGAAGGCCUUGAUCCUGCUCCUA